RNAcentral lists this ribosomal RNA (208 nucleotides) under uncultured bacterium. Its description in RNAcentral is "partial 16S ribosomal RNA". It matches the Rfam family "Bacterial small subunit ribosomal RNA", at positions 568 to 775 of the family's 1533-position model. The record is from RNAcentral.
CACGUAGGUGGUUUGGUAACUCAGUCGUGGAAUCCCGCCGCUCACCGGUGGAAUUGCGACUGAAAAUGCCAGACUUGAGCGCAGGAGGGGUGAGAGGAACUCUAGGUGGAGCGGUGAAAUGCGUAGAUAUCUAGAGGAACGCCGGAGGCGAAAGCGUCUCACUGGCCUGCUGCUGACACUGAGGUGCGAAAGCCAGGGGAGCAAAACG